ACUCAAAUGAAUUGACGGGGACCCGCACAAGCGGUGGAUGAUGUGGUUUAAUUCGAUGAUACGCGAAGAACCUUACCAAGGCUUGAAAUCCUGCGAAUCCGCUAGAAACAGUGGAGUGCCUUCGGGAACGCAGUGACAGGUGUUGCAUGGCCGUCGUCAGCUCGUGUCGUGAGAUGUUUGGUUAAGUCCAUUAACGAGCGCAACCCUUAUCGUCUGUUACAAUUUCAGGCGAGACUGCCCCGGCUAACGGGGAGGAAGGCGGGGAUGAGGUCAGGUCAGCAUGGCCCUUACGCCUUGGGCUACACACGUCAUACAAUGGCCGGUACAACGCGAUGCCAACCCGCGAGGGGGAGCUAAUCGUACCAAAACCGGUCCCAGUUCGGAUUGGAGGCUGCAACUCGCCUCCAUGAAGUCGGAAUCGCUAGUAAACGUGGGUCAGCAUACCACGUUGAAUACGUUCCCGGGUCUUGCACACACCGCCCGU
Molecule: ribosomal RNA, 484 nt
Filed under: uncultured bacterium
Lineage: Bacteria
Description: partial 16S ribosomal RNA
Rfam family: Bacterial small subunit ribosomal RNA
Source: RNAcentral